RNAcentral lists this non-coding RNA (111 nucleotides) under Mycobacterium sp. Its description in RNAcentral is "TPP sequence". It matches the Rfam family "TPP riboswitch aptamer (THI element)". Rfam says of the family: Vitamin B(1) in its active form thiamin pyrophosphate (TPP) is an essential coenzyme that is synthesised by coupling of pyrimidine and thiazole moieties in bacteria. The previously detected thiamin-regulatory element, thi box was extended, resulting in a new, highly conserved RNA secondary structure, the THI element, which is widely distributed in eubacteria and also occurs in some archaea. The record is from RNAcentral. Lineage: Bacteria; Bacillati; Actinomycetota; Actinomycetes; Mycobacteriales; Mycobacteriaceae.
CGCACACCGCACGGGAGCGUCCAACGGAGGGCGCUGAGAGGACGGCUAGAGCCGUCGACCGUCUGAACCUGACCGGGUAAUGCCGGCGUAGGGAGAUGAAGAUGACCGAUC